This 432-nucleotide ribosomal RNA is filed under the name uncultured bacterium. RNAcentral describes it as "bacterial SSU rRNA". It matches the Rfam family "Bacterial small subunit ribosomal RNA", at positions 29 to 507 of the family's 1533-position model. The record is from RNAcentral.
AGCGAACGCUGGCGGCAGGCCUAAUACAUGCAAGUCGAACGGUCUCUUCGGAGGCAGUGGCGGACGGGUGAGUAACGCGUGGGAAUAUGCCCUUUGGUACGGAACAACUGAGGGAAACUUCAGCUAAUACCGUAUGUGCCCUUCGGGGAAAGAUUUAUCGCCAUUGGGGUAGCCCGCGUUGGAUUAGGUAGUUGGUGGGGUAAAGGCCUACCAAGCCUACGAUCCAUAGCUGGUCUGAGAGGAUGAUCAGCCACACUGGGACUGAGACACGGCCCAGACUCCUACGGGAGGCAGCAGUAGGGAAUCUUGCGCAAUGGGCGAAAGCCUGACGCAGCCAUGCCGCGUGAAUGAUGAAGGUCUUAGGAUUGUAAAAUUCUUUCACCGGGGAAGAUAAUGACGGUACCCGGAGAAGAAGCCCCGGCUAACUUCGUG